UUGAAAACAUUGUAAAGGAAAGUUGAGCUGGUCCUUCAAGGGGCAAGUGCUCGCUUUUCUUUCAAUCUUCAUCCACCUGUGCACUUUUUGUAGAGAGUUCUGAGAAAUCUGGACCCUUUAAGUAGGGUUCUGAGAAGUAUCAGGUUCUCUAUGUCUUUAUACACUCAAUGUAUGUCUUUGAAUGUCUUUAUAAGGGACCUUAAUUGGACCUUUUAAAAAACUAUA
RNAcentral lists this unclassified non-coding RNA (225 nucleotides) under uncultured Marasmius. RNAcentral describes it as "sequence contains ITS1". The record is from RNAcentral. Lineage: Eukaryota; Fungi; Basidiomycota; Agaricomycetes; Agaricales; Tricholomataceae.